AGAGUUUGAUCAUGGCUCAGGAUGAACGCUAGCUACAGGCUUAACACAUGCAAGUCGAGGGGAAACGAUAUUGGAAGCUUGCUUCCGAUAGGCGUCGACCGGCGCACGGGUGAGUAACGCGUAUCCAACCUGCCCACCACUUGGGGAUAACCUUGCGAAAGUAAGACUAAUACCCAAUGACGUCUCUAGAAGACAUCUGAAAGAGAUUAAAAGAUUUAUCGGUGAUGGAUGGGGAUGCGUCUGAUUAGCUUGUUGGCGGGGUAACGCCCACAAGGCUACGAUCAGUAGGGGUUCUGAGAGGAAGGUCCCCCCANAUUGGAACUGAGACACGGUCCAAACUCCUAGGGAGCA
This 351-nucleotide ribosomal RNA is filed under the name uncultured bacterium. Its description in RNAcentral is "bacterial SSU rRNA". It matches the Rfam family "Bacterial small subunit ribosomal RNA", at positions 8 to 349 of the family's 1533-position model. The record is from RNAcentral.